This is a long non-coding RNA of Sarcophilus harrisii (Tasmanian devil), 2320 nucleotides long. RefSeq lists it as uncharacterized. NCBI's taxonomy places the organism in Eukaryota, Metazoa, Chordata, Mammalia, Dasyuromorphia, Dasyuridae. The transcript has 3 exons. The record is from RefSeq and is a predicted model, not a curated record.
UUACAAAUAUUACCUCAUUUGGUUCUCACAACCCUCUAGGAGAUAUGUGCUAAAUUGAGACAAAUGGAGGUUAAGGGACACGGCUGAGUUUAAAAACUAGUAAGAGUGUUUAUGGAUGCAUUUGCACCUAGGGACAAUAAAAAAGUUUGAGAUUUUUUGAUCAUUGAAGUAGAAUAUAUAUGAUGGUAAUGAUGAAAAUGAAUGAUGAAAAAUAUUCUUGCAUAUAAGUGAGUUGAAGUAGAAGUUGUGAGAAUUAAAGAGAGCAAGGAAUUGGAAAGUUUGGAUAUGUUAAGGGAAGAGAAACAUUUAUGUUGAUGUCCCCUCGUUUAAGAGAAGGAAUUAACUUGAAAGUAAUCUGACAGAAAUUCUGAUUUAAACCAGCAUCUCAUACCAUAUACUAUAAUAAGCUCCAAAUGAAUUCAUGACCUAGAUAUAAAAGGUCAUAUUAAAAAAAAUUAAUGGAACAGCUUCAUUUUCUCGAUAGUAAGCUGUCUUUAAGGGACUGUACUUGAAUCUUUUGACAUUACCAUCUUGCAUGUAGGUGUGUAUCACUUUUCACAGUCCAUCAACCAUCUGUUCUUUUUCCCAGCAGACAAAUGAGGCAGAGAAGACUGGUUCAGUGAAAGAAGGUUCGUGUUCACUGCUGGCAUACUGUCUAGUAGGAGUCCCAAAUUCUUAGCUAUAUUGCUAUUUGUAAUCCAAUUCACAGAACUUUACAUACUGUACACACUUUUUUUGUUUUAAUUUUUAAGGUAUCUCCAUGGCGUCAGUGUUGUGUGAUCCUUAGGACAAAUUGUCUGCAUUUGGCUGGUAGUAUAUGUUAAAGUCUUGGUUGGCUAGAGCUGUUGUGUGGUUGUAGAAAAACUUAAUACUUCCUUAACACCAUUCUAUCACAUUCUAGGUCCUCUGUGACUGAAUCAUUGGAAGGAAGGAAAGAACUGGCUUGAAGACUUUCUAUGACACUAGUUAUAUUCUUGGCCCUUUGUGACUAUAUUAUUUGAGUGAUAUUUGAGACAAAGUUCUCAGACAAGAAGGUGGAACAUAUUGGAACCAUGGGACGUUAAAAAAAGAUGAAAAGGUUGGGAAAGGCUACUGUGUCUUCCAGCUCCUAAUCUGUGAACCUGCGAUUCUUCGAUCAAUCCAGUGGAGAAGCACCGUACACACUCAGGUUCAUUUGUCUGAUGAAUUUGUCAGCACUCCAGUUUAUGAAACUCACUUCUCAUUCCAGUUCAGUUGCCAACAUAACCACAGGCAGGCUAAUGACAUAUUCAUCAUCACACCUGGGGAGGUGGCUCCAGAGAACCUGUCCUCACCUCACCUGAAUGAGCUGUCAGAGAAGCCAGACACCUUGACGAGCAGAAAGAGUUAGAGGGGGCUGAUCCACCUGGGAUUUUCAGGCAGCUUCCUCGCAGGAAGUGCCCCUUCCUAACAGGAGUCACCUUAGUGUCAGGUCAGACUGCAAGGUCGUAAUUAUAUUGGCUGAAGGAGGAGGUGCUAGUCUCUGCGACUCUCAACACCUGGCCAGCUCCUCAUCAGCUCAUCUUCACUACCAGGUGUGCAUAUGUACCCUCAAUGCAGUGGCAGGUACACACAGUUGGGCACACCAGAACCAUGUAAUGUUCCUUUCCAGAUCUAAAUCAUAUAAAACAUUUUAUAAGCCAGGAUUUUAAAGCGGGCUGGCUUAAAAACUGCUUUUGGAAAAAAGGGUAACAAUGAUAAUAACAACUCAUAUUUAUGUAGUACUUUGAGGUUUGUAAUAUUCUCUCUCUCUCUGUCUCUCUGUCUCUUGCCUCAUACUAAUCCAAAGUGGGAAGUAUUAUAAUAAUCUCUAUUUUAUAUAGAUUUUAUGAAUUACCCUGGGGUCAAACAGCUAGCAAAGGUUUGAAGCAGGAUUUGAACUUUUCUGACUUUUCUGACUGAACUUUUUCUGACUUCAGGUCUUGAACUCUGAGAGCCCUAUGAGCUUUGAUAUUUUAUAUUUUUCUCAAAGUGUAUAAGGAGAGAGCAAACCUCAAAGAUCUCUAAUCCAGCACUAUUGGGGACAAAGAGAGCAGGGAAGGUUAGAGAGAAGAAAGAAAGAAAAUUGGGAAUAAUACAACUGUUUCCCUUUGAAGUUAGUUCCCUAUAUGCACAUAGAGUGGAGAAAUGGUAUGAAAAAUUCAAAUUCUGUUGUUUGGCUUUGGAGUAAAUUAGAUGCUAUUUCCUUACUUUAGAAGUCUCCCUCAUUAUGUUUGCCUCAGGAUGACAUUAAGAUGAGUUUUCAUUUUUACUUUACAUGUGCCUUCUUAAAGGGGCAUGGAGGUAAAGAGGAAGGGAGAGA